CAGAUUGAACGCUGGCGGCAGGCCUAACACAUGCAAGUCGAGCGGCAGCACGGGUACUUGUACCUGGUGGCGAGCGGCGGACGGGUGAGUAAUGCCUAGGAAUCUGCCUGGUAGUGGGGGAUAACGCUCGGAAACGGACGCUAAUACCGCAUACGUCCUACGGGAGAAAGCAGGGGACCUUCGGGCCUUGCGCUAUCAGAUGAGCCUAGGUCGGAUUAGCUAGUUGGUGAGGUAAUGGCUCACCAAGGCGACGAUCCGUAACUGGUCUGAGAGGAUGAUCAGUCACACUGGAACUGAGACACGGUCCAGACUCCUACGGGAGGCAGCAGUGGGGAAUAUUGGACAAUGGGCGAAAGCCUGAUCCAGCCAUGCCGCGUGUGUGAAGAAGGUCUUCGGAUUGUAAAGCACUUUAAGUUGGGAGGAAGGGCAUUUACCUAAUACGUAAGUGUUUUGACGUUACCGACAGAAUAAGCACCGGCUAACUCUGUGCCAGCAGCCGCGGUAAUACAGAGGGUGCAAGCGUUAAUCGGAAUUACUGGGCGUAAAGCGCGCGUAGGUGGUUUGUUAAGUUGGAUGUGAAAUCCCCGGGCUCAACCUGGGAACUGCAUUCAAAACUGACAAGCUAGAGUAUGGUAGAGGGUGGUGGAAUUUCCUGUGUAGCGGUGAAAUGCGUAGAUAUAGGAAGGAACACCAGUGGCGAAGGCGACCACCUGGACUGAUACUGACACUGAGGUGCGAAAGC
Molecule: ribosomal RNA, 742 nt
Filed under: Pseudomonas borealis
Lineage: Bacteria; Pseudomonadati; Pseudomonadota; Gammaproteobacteria; Pseudomonadales; Pseudomonadaceae
Description: bacterial SSU rRNA
Rfam family: Bacterial small subunit ribosomal RNA
Source: RNAcentral